UCUCCGUAGGUGAACCUGCGGAGGGAUCAUUACAGAGUUCAUGCCCUACCGGGUAGAUCUCCCACCCUAUGUUAUUAUUACUUUGUUGCUUUGGCGGGCCGUUAGGCUCCGGCCCGACUACCGGCCCCGGCUGGUAAGCGCCCGCCAGAAGACCCAAAACCCUGAAUAUUAGUGUCGUCUGAGUACUAUAUAAUAGUUAAAACUUUCAACAACGGAUCUCUUGGUUCUG
This 229-nucleotide unclassified non-coding RNA is filed under the name plant metagenome. Its description in RNAcentral is "partial contains small subunit ribosomal RNA, internal transcribed spacer 1, and 5.8S ribosomal RNA". The record is from RNAcentral.